GCCGACGAUCGCUAGCUGGUCUGAGAGGAUGGCCAGCCACACCGGGACUGAGACACGGCCCGGACUCCUACGGGAGGCAGCAGUGGGGAAUAUUGCGCAAUGGGGGCAACCCUGAC
This 116-nucleotide ribosomal RNA is filed under the name Aggregatibacter actinomycetemcomitans. Its description in RNAcentral is "partial 16S ribosomal RNA". It matches the Rfam family "Bacterial small subunit ribosomal RNA", at positions 272 to 387 of the family's 1533-position model. The record is from RNAcentral. Lineage: Bacteria; Pseudomonadati; Pseudomonadota; Gammaproteobacteria; Pasteurellales; Pasteurellaceae.